Long non-coding RNA from Haliotis rubra (blacklip abalone), 215 nucleotides. RefSeq lists it as uncharacterized. The transcript has 3 exons. The record is from RefSeq and is a predicted model, not a curated record. NCBI's taxonomy places the organism in Eukaryota, Metazoa, Mollusca, Gastropoda, Lepetellida, Haliotidae.
AGCAAGUUACAUACCAGCAGAGCUCUAUGGACACCUCCUGAAGUGGCUUGAAACCAACUUUACACGUCGUAUCCCAAAAGACAAAAGCUGCCCCUACACCAGCUCACUGACCACUGUCUUGGAUGUGCACAAUGUGGACGACAAACUCAAAGAACUGACUCUGCAGUAUAUGUGGUAAUAUAUAUUCACAAUUUGUUUCUCUCAUGUCAAUUUUA